UAGGUUUGCCCUAAGUCAAACAUGUCUAACUUUGACCAAGUGUGUAGAAUAAUACAACAACAACUAUAAUACUAAACAUAUUCCAUGGUGGAUUCAACUAAACAAAUUUGGUAUUGUAGAUGUUGUUAUAUUAUUCUAUAAACUUGGUCAAAGAUGGAUAGGUCUGACUUAGGACAAAUCUAA
RNAcentral lists this microRNA precursor (183 nucleotides) under Setaria italica (foxtail millet). RNAcentral describes it as "MIR1435 microRNA precursor family". It matches the Rfam family "MIR1435 microRNA precursor family". Lineage: Eukaryota; Viridiplantae; Streptophyta; Magnoliopsida; Poales; Poaceae. RNAcentral also lists the same sequence under 1 other name. The record is from Rfam by way of RNAcentral.